This 468-nucleotide ribosomal RNA is filed under the name uncultured bacterium. RNAcentral's name for it is "partial 16S ribosomal RNA". It matches the Rfam family "Bacterial small subunit ribosomal RNA", at positions 28 to 507 of the family's 1533-position model. The record is from RNAcentral.
GACGAACGCUGGCGGCGUGCUUAACACAUGCAAGUCGAACGAUGCAGCUCCAUCUAGUUCGAGUGGGUCAGUUGCGAACGGGUGAGUGACACGUGAGCAACAGGCACCUGACUCUGACAUGAGCUCUAGAGGCGGCGACUAAUACUGGAUACGUGCUGAGUCCGCAUAGGCGCUCUCUGGCACAUUAUUCGGUUGGGGAAGGGCUCGCGGCCUAACAGCUUGUUGGUGAGGUAAGGGCUCACCAAGGCGACGACGGGUAGCCGGCCUGAGAGGGCGAACGGCCACACUGGGACUGAGACACGGCACAGACUCCUACGGGAGGCAGAAGUGGGGAAUAGUGCACAAUGGGCGAAAGCCUGAUGCAGCGACGCCGCGUGAGGGAUGACGGCCUUCGGGUUGUAAACCUCUUUCAGCAGGGAAGAAGCGAAAGUGACGGUACCUGCAGAAGAAGCACCGGCUAACUACGUG